Molecule: transfer RNA, 75 nt
Filed under: Pseudomonadota bacterium
Lineage: Bacteria; Pseudomonadati; Pseudomonadota
Also listed under: 1 other name
Description: tRNA-Asn
Rfam family: tRNA
About the family: Transfer RNA (tRNA) molecules are approximately 80 nucleotides in length.
Source: RNAcentral
UCCGCGGUAGCUCAAUGGUAGAGCGUCUCGCUGUUAACGAGGGGGUUGUAGGUUCGAAUCCUACCCGCGGAGCCA